CCGCACGGCUCAGGCGCUGCCCCUCCGGAGGCGGGGGCCGCUCGUGGGGUGGGGGUGGGAUGCGCUGAGAAAAGGAAACAGAGAGGAGGUGCAGCUCGUUCUCUGCUCUUCACGAGGAGAGAGAGAGACGAAACCCAAAAUAUUCAAGUGAGGAGAGAAAUUUUAAGCGGGAGUCGUCCUUUCUUCUGCCAGCCGAGCCGAGCCGAGCCACCAGCCCAGAGUUAUUUCGGAGAGAGGAGAGAGACAGAAGCGCAGAAGAUGGAGAGACGAGAGCUCCUGAAAUCGUGGGUCCCACGAGACACGUGUCGCGCUGCGACCGCCUUCUUGUUUGCCACGCUGUCUACAUAAGACGUACCCAAUAUUU
This 364-nucleotide long non-coding RNA is filed under the name Eucalyptus grandis. RNAcentral's name for it is "long non-coding RNA (EGRA_LNC000446)". Lineage: Eukaryota; Viridiplantae; Streptophyta; Magnoliopsida; Myrtales; Myrtaceae. The record is from RNAcentral.